RNAcentral lists this ribosomal RNA (422 nucleotides) under uncultured archaeon. RNAcentral describes it as "bacterial SSU rRNA". It matches the Rfam family "Archaeal small subunit ribosomal RNA", at positions 321 to 744 of the family's 1478-position model. The record is from RNAcentral.
UCCUACGGGAGGCAGCAGGCGCGAAAUCUUCACAAUGUGCGAAAGCACGAUGAGGGGAUCCCAAGUGCUGGCACGUAAGUGUCAGCUGUUUCUUAGUCUAAAAAACUGAGAGAGUAAGGGCUGGGUAAGACGGGUGCCAGCCGCCGCGGUAAUACCUGCAGCUCAAGUGGUGGCCGCUAUUAUUGGGCCUAAAACGUCCGUAGCCUGUUUAGUAAAUGCUUGGGUAAAUUGUGUAGCUUAACUAUACGAAUACCGGGUAGACUGCUAAACUUGGGACCGGGAGAGGCUAGAGGUACUCCUGGGGUAGAGGUGAAAUUCUGUAAUCCUAGGGGGACCACCAGUGGCGAAGGCGUCUAGCUAGAACGGGUCUGACGGUGAGGGACGAAGCCCUGGGGCGCAAACCGGAUUAGAUACCCCAGUAG